RNAcentral lists this ribosomal RNA (555 nucleotides) under Acinetobacter sp. RNAcentral's name for it is "partial 23S ribosomal RNA". It matches the Rfam family "Bacterial large subunit ribosomal RNA", at positions 1 to 616 of the family's 2925-position model. Lineage: Bacteria; Pseudomonadati; Pseudomonadota; Gammaproteobacteria; Moraxellales; Moraxellaceae. The record is from RNAcentral.
AAAGAAAUCGUUAAGGGCGUAUGGCGGAUGCCUAGGCUUUCAGAGGCGAAGAAGGACGUGGUAAGCUGCGAAAAGCUGCGGGGAUCGGCACACACGAAUUGAUCCGCAGAUGUCCGAAUGGGGCAACCCGGCUGGUUGAAGACCAGUCACUCUAUUUAUUUAGAGAGCAAACCCGGAGAACUGAAACAUCUAAGUACCCGGAGGAAAAGAAAUCGAAGAGAUUCCGUAAGUAGCGGCGAGCGAAAGCGGAUUAGCCCAAAAGUCUUUAUAUGUUUAAUAGAAUGUUCUGGAAAGAACAGCCAUAGACGGUGAUAGCCCGGUAUAUGAAAGGCAUACAUAGAUGAUAAAUGAGUAGGGCGGGACACGUGAAAUCCUGUCUGAAUAUGGGGGGACCAUCCUCCAAGGCUAAAUACUCCUGAAAGACCGAUAGUGAACUAGUACUGUGAAGGAAAGGUGAAAAGCACUUCGAAUAGAAGGGUGAAAUAGAACCUGAAACCGUACGCCUACAAGCGGUCGGAGCCCACAAGUUGGGUGACGGCGUGCCUUUUGCAUAAU